Molecule: long non-coding RNA, 3265 nt
Organism: Bombus pascuorum
Lineage: Eukaryota; Metazoa; Arthropoda; Insecta; Hymenoptera; Apidae
Exons: 3
Source: RefSeq, a predicted model, not a curated record
AUUCGUCUGACAGCCGCCGGUUUGCUUAUGGAUUAACGGCGAUACAUCCGAGCAACAGUUUUGCAAUGUACAGUUUUGCAUACUCAAAUACGUUUACGAUACGUAUUCUAACCUGGUUGUGCAACGUUAACCUUGUACUUUGCGACAUUUAAGAAUGCAAAUGUUGCUUACACAGAAAAAUCACAACUUAUAGACACACUGACAGCUACGGUUAUUGAGAAGUAAAUAAAUAUAAAUCAAAUUAGUGGAUAAGAUAAAUUUAGAAACAGUGUUAUUUAACGAUAGGAAAAAUUCAUAGGAGAAGCUCGUUCGUAUUAACGGAUAACGUUGAAAAUUAUGUCAUCGGUAAAGAUCGCAUGCAACUGUUUAUACGUUAUUUAAUUUAUGAAUCUAUUUCCGGAUCUGACGCGAAUACGACGAUUUGUGUGAAAAUGUAUUCAGUGAUUCACCGUGGCAAACAUCGGUGCACUCACGCAAGAAAUUUUAAGCAGGAAAUCAGCCAAUGGAACAACGAUAAUCUACUACAAUAUAUACAAAUUCGUAAUGGAUAUAAACAUCGACUUCAGUACUGAUUUGAUUCCUCGAGCAUUAAGUAACGACUUAAGUGUCAGAGUGAAAUUAACACCUACUGCCUCAAUUAUGAUAGUACAUUCCAUCUGCGGACCUGGACAUUGGACCACCCUAAAUUUAUUGAUCCAUUGCUCGAUUCCAAAGAAUAUUUAAGUUGAUCUUAAGUUAAGUCUACGUUAGAUGUUUAAUUCAACUGGGAGUCAUCGCUAAUCUGAAGCAAAAAGGAUUUGAUUCAAUUUCGAUCGGCUGGAAAAGAGAACCGAUCCCACGAGGAUUGAAUAAUAACGAAGGUGAUCCGCAACGAGCCCAAUGAGAGGGUAAAAUCGAUCGAAUCUCGCUAAUUAUCAGGAAUUUGAUAAUUACUAGCCGUGACUGGUAAUCGGUAGCCGUUUCGCCAGAAUUGCGACUUUUCCAUUUCCCGAUCCAAUGGAUUCUUAUUCGCGAACAUGAAUGAAGAACACCGAGUGAAAUCCUUUAACCAUCGUUAUCAGCCAAUAAAAAUAUUUACACGAUGAGAUAAAUGGAGUGUGAACUAGUUUGCAAAUAAUUACAUCUAAAUCGGCCGGUUACGUCAUCGUAAAAAGUGAAAAUGGAAGCGACGACGCGACGUGCGUCGAAGAUGAAUGAAAAUGCAUAUGCAUCGUCACGCGUCAAGUGCUCAAUGAACGUCGUAACACUUAUUGUUGAGUGAUAAAACCACUACCAAGUUUCUAGCUCGCCUAUGCAAACUAUAUUCGACGAUGAACUCAAUGAUAAAAUUGACAGCACGACUUUAACCCUUUUGCGACUACCAACUAAUAUACACAAUGUCGAUGGCUCGCUGCACAAACAUCCUAUGUCCAUUUUCAGCGUUCUCGAGAAAAAACGAUAUUAAUAACUUAAUAUUAUCCCUUUGCACUCUGAAUUUUAUUUCAAUUUCAUAGCAGCAGCUCCAAACGCUUUUAAGUGUUUUGUUUGUAAUUUCCUUGAACUAAAAAAUAAGACAAUUUAAAUAAAUAAAGGAGGAAAGAAAUUCACCUAAAUACCAGUUUUAUUUACACUAUGUUACAUUUUGUAAUUUUUAAAUGUAUGAUAUAUCUUGAAACAAUUUUCAGGAUGCAAUCCUGGUUUCUUUCACAAAAUAGGUAGGACUGAAGGAAUAUUGAGUGGGACUCGACAAAGGAACUCCUGAGAUAAAAACUGAAAAAUAAGACAAUUUAAAUAAAUAAAGGAAGAAAGAAAUUCACCUAAAUACCAGUUUUAUUUACACUACUGUUACAUUUUGUAAUUUUUAAAUGAUAUAUCUUGAAACAAUUUUCAGGAUCCUAGUUUUUUCACAAAAAAAGGUGGGACUGAAGGAAUUUGAGUGGGACACGGCAAAAGAGCUUCUGAGAUAAAAACUAAAAAAUAAGACAAUUUAAAUAAAUAAAGGAAGAAAGAAAUUCACCUAAAUACCAAUUUUAUUCACACUAUUGUUAUAUUUUGUAAUUUUUAAAUGAUAUAUCUUGGAACAAUUUCCAGGAUCCUAUUUUUUUCACAAAAUAGAUAGGACUGAAGGAAUAUUGAGUGGGACUCGACAAAGGAACUCCUGAGAUAAAAACUGUCAUCGAAUCACGCUCGACAUAGAAGUGCAAAGAGUUAUGAUAUUUAUCUGAAUAUUAAGAUACAUUAUAAUGAAAUAAAUACUAUUGGCAUUCUAUUUAUUGUUCAAGAUGACAACAUGAGUUCGUGCUCGCCAUUCAUAUGCGGAUGCGCUAGUUACACUAAAUACUAACUAGGAGAUUGUUCUAGAUACAAUCGAUAGAUGUAAUCGAUAGGUUUAAGAUGUUCUUUUGUUUUUAUCCCUAGUCCAUGUAAGAACGUACACGGUAAGAACUCAGAACGGUGUGAUAGAUUUAUCCAAAGAAUAAAAUAAUAGCUAUUGUGAUUCUACCUGUGAAUAAAGAAAUAACAACAUUUAUCUUUAUCAAUAGUGUUACAAAAUUAGUUAGAGAUUGUGUAUUGGUCGUUUUUAGAGGUAUACGUGAAAUGACAAAUACAUAAGAGAAAAUGUUAUUUUUCCUAAACGUAUGAAGCAAAUGUGGCCAUUUAAACAGCGUACAGAUAUAGCGAUAUAAAAUUUCCAAUUGCACAGAAAAUGUACGUACAAUAUUUGUGCAAUCAAGCCAUCGAUACGUGUAUUUAUAUUUCGACCUUAAUUUGAUAAUAGACAUUGUGUGGUAUGACAAACACUUUGCUUACUCCCACGAGCCAAGUGUUAUCUAAUAAUUGAUUUCACAUAUUUAUUUCAACUUGAGAUCUAGCAAUUCAUAAUUAUCACAAAUACUUCACUCGAUGUAACGAUACAAAGCAAAAAUUAAUAUAGUUACGAUGAUUUAGUUGUAGUAAAAUAAUCAUAAUAAAAAUUGUAAUAAAAUCGAUUUAGUUAUAACAAGUCUUAACCUUGAAGAGAAGUAACGCUUAUUUUAAUGGACAUUCUGUUUGCAGUAAUCUAAACGUAGAUUCUUGCUCUAUUAUAUUAAUUUAUUCAAUGAUUAAUGUAAAUCCUGUGAAUAACUUUCUAUUCCACAGACAAAGGAGUUAACGUCUUAAAGAAAAGUAACACUGAACUGGAAAUAGCUUCUGUCGCAAUAAAGAUCAGUUAAAUAUUUUCUAAGCUGAAGAUUUUCUUUCAUCAAUGGCUUAUAGAUCUGAUUAAUAGAAGAACUAGCGUUCU